Molecule: non-coding RNA, 807 nt
Organism: Salvelinus sp. IW2-2015
Lineage: Eukaryota; Metazoa; Chordata; Actinopteri; Salmoniformes; Salmonidae
Source: RefSeq, a predicted model, not a curated record
CCAUGCCACCCCCACCAUGGACAGGAUGAGACAAUAUUUUGAAGCAGUCUAAAGAACAAUCUCUACAACCCAGAGGGACUGCAGAUCAGCUUUUAUGGCUCGAGCUUUUCCACUUCCGUAUCUCUGUCAUUCCUGGAGUUGUGUUGUGUGACCUGGUGGAGGAGUACAGAUCUACGUAGACGAGCCUCCGCUGGCGUUCCCAACCCAACAGCUCGUCAACAACAUGGCAGCCAUCAUCCUGGGAGGCUUGCUGCUCUUUGGCUUCCUUCUCAUAUACAACGGCGUUGCCAUGCCAACCAAGAGCAGCAUCAAAACCCUCCUCAAGAAACACAAGCCCACCAUCUCUCCAACCAGGACCCAGAACUCUACCACGACACAGGGACACGAGUAGGAUUUUACAGUUUGGCAUUGUAAGAGUGUGUUAUAGAGUUGUACGUUCCAUUUUUAGCCUUUUAACCUAAGUAUGAGAUGUAAAUGUUUUUAUUGUUCAGAUUGAUCCUUUUUCCAAAUGUGUGUUCUAUGACAUUUGUAUUUGGGAAAAAUUGAAAGAAACUAGCAAAGAUGAAAAGGUACAAAUGAAAGGAAAAACACAUGCUCGGAGUGGGUUUUAUUGGUUGUUGCUGUGUUUUCAAAGAAAAUACAAACUGUAAAAAAUAAAAAAUAAAUAACAAAAAGUAAACCAGGAUUUGUUGCCAUUAGGACUUUGUCAGAUACUACUACAUUAUAUUCUGGUAGGUUGUAUCACAUAAUAUCUCAGACCUGUAGGAGUAGUCGGGAAGGAUCCAUAAAUAAAACACAUCACUCAUA